AGGGGUAUAGUUUCUUCGGAAACUAGAGACCGGCGCACGGGUGCGUAACGCGUAUGCAAUCUACCUUUUACAGAGGGAUAGCCCAGAGAAAUUUGGAUUAAUACCUCAUAGUAUGUGAGAAUCGCAUGGUUUUCACAUUAAAGUUCCAACGGUAAAAGAUGAGCAUGCGUCCCAUUAGCUAGAUGGUAAGGUAACGGCUUACCAUGGCGACGAUGGGUAGGGGUCCUGAGAGGGAGAUCCCCCACACUGGUACUGAGACACGGACCAGACUCCUACGGGAGGCAGCAGUGAGGAAUAUUGGACAAUGGGCGCAAGCCUGAUCCAGCCAUGCCGCGUGCAGGAUGACGGUCCUAUGGAUUGUAAACUGCUUUUGUACAGGAAGAAACACUCCCUCGUGAGGGAGCUUGACGGUACUGUAAGAAUAAGGAUCGGCUAACUCCGUGCCAGCAGCCGCGGUAAUACGGAGGAUCCAAGCGUUAUCCGGAAUCAUUGGGUUUAAAGGGUCCGUAGGCGGUUUAAUAAGUCAGUGGUGAAAGCCCAUCGCUCAACGGUGGAACGGCCAUUGAUACUGUUAAACUUGAAUUAUUAGGAAGUAACU
This 598-nucleotide ribosomal RNA is filed under the name uncultured Bacteroidota bacterium. Its description in RNAcentral is "bacterial SSU rRNA". It matches the Rfam family "Bacterial small subunit ribosomal RNA", at positions 65 to 662 of the family's 1533-position model. The record is from RNAcentral. Lineage: Bacteria; Pseudomonadati; Bacteroidota.